RNAcentral lists this ribosomal RNA (330 nucleotides) under uncultured bacterium. Its description in RNAcentral is "bacterial SSU rRNA". It matches the Rfam family "Bacterial small subunit ribosomal RNA", at positions 568 to 898 of the family's 1533-position model. The record is from RNAcentral.
UGCGCAGGCGGUUUGUUAAGUCAGAUGUGAAAGCCCCGGGCUUAACCUGGGAACUGCGUUUGAGACUGGCAAGCUGGAGUCUGUCAGAGGGGGGUAGAAUUCCACGUGUAGCAGUGAAAUGCGUAGAGAUGUGGAGGAAUACCGAUGGCGAAGGCAGCCCCCUGGGAUAAGACUGACGCUCAUGCACGAAAGCGUGGGGAGCAAACAGGAUUAGAUACCCUGGUAGUCCACGCCCUAAACGAUGUCGACUGGUUGUUGGGCAACUUGAUUGCUUAGUAACGAAGCUAACGCGAGAAGUCGACCGCCUGGGAGUACGGUCGCAAGAUUAAA